UACGUAGGAUGCAAGCGUUGUCCGGAAUUACUGGGCGUAAAGGGAGCGUAGGCGGACUGUUUAGUCAGAGGUGAAAGCCCAGGGCUCAACCUUGGAAUUGCCUUUGAUACUGGCAGUCUUGAGUACGGAAGAGGUAUGUGGAACUCCGAGUGUAGAGGUGAAAUUCGUAGAUAUUCGGAAGAACACCAGUGGCGAAGGCGACAUACUGGUCCGUUACUGACGCUGAGGCUCGAAAGCGUGGGGAGCAAACAGG
This 253-nucleotide ribosomal RNA is filed under the name uncultured bacterium. Its description in RNAcentral is "partial 16S ribosomal RNA". It matches the Rfam family "Bacterial small subunit ribosomal RNA", at positions 524 to 776 of the family's 1533-position model. The record is from RNAcentral.